Molecule: ribosomal RNA, 490 nt
Filed under: uncultured bacterium
Lineage: Bacteria
Description: partial 16S ribosomal RNA
Rfam family: Bacterial small subunit ribosomal RNA
Source: RNAcentral
AUUGAACGCUGGCGGCAGGCCUAACACAUGCAAGUCGAACGGUAACAGGAAGCAGCUUGCUGCUUUGCUGACGAGUGGCGGACGGGUGAGUAAUGUCUGGGAAACUGCCUGAUGGAGGGGGAUAACUACUGGAAACGGUAGCUAAUACCGCAUAACGUCGCAAGACCAAAGAGGGGGACCUUCGGGCCUCUUGCCAUCGGAUGUGCCCGGGUGGGAUUAGCUAGGUGGUGGGGUAACGGCGCACCUAGGCGACGAUCCCUAGCUGGUCUGAGAGGAUGACCAGCCACACUGGAACUGAGACACGGUCCAGACUCCUACGGGAGGCAGCAGUGGGGAAUAUUGCACCAUGGGCGCAAGCCUGAUGCAGCCAUGCCGCGUGUAUGAAGAAGGCCUUCGGGUUGUAAAGUACUUUCAGCGGGGAGGAAGGGAGUAAAGUUAAUACCUUUGCUCAUUGACGUUACCCGCAGAAGAAGCACCGGCUAACUCCGUG